UUACUGGGCGUAAAGCGCAUGCAGGCGGCCUGUUAAGUCAGAUGUGUAAAGCCCCGGGGCUUAAACCUCGGAAUUGCAUUUGAAACUGGCAGGCUAGAGUCUUGUAGAGGGGGUAGAAUUUCAGGUGUAGCGGUGAAAAUGCGUAGAGAUCUGAAGGAAUACCAGUGGCGAAGGCGGCCCCCUGGACAAAGACUGACGCUCAGAUGCGAAAGCGUGGGGAGCAAACAGGAUUAGAUACCCCUGGUAG
This 247-nucleotide ribosomal RNA is filed under the name uncultured bacterium. RNAcentral's name for it is "partial 16S ribosomal RNA". It matches the Rfam family "Bacterial small subunit ribosomal RNA", at positions 551 to 793 of the family's 1533-position model. The record is from RNAcentral.